Non-coding RNA from Paramisgurnus dabryanus, 450 nucleotides. The record is from RefSeq and is a predicted model, not a curated record. NCBI's taxonomy places the organism in Eukaryota, Metazoa, Chordata, Actinopteri, Cypriniformes, Cobitidae.
UUAAAAACUCGGAUAUCCGCUUUGAAGAGGAAGAGACCAAAAAAGAAAGCGAUAGUCUGCAGGAAAUUGUUUGCAACCUAAAAAACCCACACAUUUCUAGAGACCUGUCGCAAAAGGAGUAUCUGAGGUGGAGCGGUUUUAACCUGAAAGAAAACCGUACAAAGAAAUCAAUAAUCCAUCACUGGCAAAGAAUCUGGAAAUAGGGUCACACGCAGCUGCGGCGCAUCAGGGGAGAUACGGGAAAAGCACAGAGAGUACGUCUGAAAAUGGCUUUUUGGGGACCCGUUGGAACCAUCUGGGGGACCCCUGGGGGACUCCAGUUUGAAAACGCCUGCCAUAGAAGAACCAUUUUUUGGCUGAAUGAUUACAUAAAUUAACAACUGAAGAACUAAAGGUUAUAAUCUAAAGGUUUUUAAAGGAACACGCCCACAUUUUGGGAAUUUGGCUUAU